CCAGGUAAAGUUACUAACUUCAGUAACCCCAGGUAAAGUUACUAACUUCAAUAACCCCAGGUAAAGUUAGUAACUUCAAUAACCCCAGGUAAAGUUACUAACUUCAAUAACCCCAGGUAAAGUUACUAACUUCAAUAACCCCAGGUAAAGUUACUAACUUCAAUAACCCCAGGUAAAGUUACUAACUUCAAUAACCCCAGGUAAAGUUACUAACUUCAAUAACCCCAGGUAAAGUUACUAACUUCAAUAACCCCAGGUAAAGUUACUAACUUCAAUAACCCCAGGUAAAG
Molecule: long non-coding RNA, 290 nt
Organism: Oncorhynchus keta (chum salmon)
Lineage: Eukaryota; Metazoa; Chordata; Actinopteri; Salmoniformes; Salmonidae
Exons: 3
Source: RefSeq, a predicted model, not a curated record